AUAAAGUCGUAACAAGGUUUCGUAGGUGAACCUGCGGAAGGAUCAUUAUUGAAUAAACCUGGCUUGGUUGAUGCUGGUCUUUUCGGAGACAUGUGCACACCUUGUCAUCUUUAUAUCUCCACCUGUGCACCUUUUGUAGACCUGGAUUCAACUUUCCGAGGAAACUCGGUUGUGAGGAAUUNGCUUAAUAGGCUUUCCUUGUUAGUUUCCAGGGCUAUGUUUUCAUAUACACCUUAAGAAUGUAACAGAAUGUCAUUAUUAGGCUUAAUUGCCUUAUAAACUAUAUACAACUUUCAGCAACGGAUCUCUUGGCUCUCGCAUCGAUGAAGAACGCAGCGAAAUGCGAUAAGUAAUGUGAAUUGCAGAAUUCAGUGAAUCAUCGAAUCUUUGAACGCACCUUGCGCUCCUUGGUAUUCCGAGGAGCAUGCCUGUUUGAGUGUCAUUAAAUUCUCAACCUUUAUUAACUUUUUGGUUAGUAAGUGGAUUGGAAGUGGGGGCAUGUUGGUUUCUUCAUUGAAAUAAACUCCCCUGAAAUGCAUUAGCUGGUUGCCUUGUGCGAACAUGUCUAUUGGUGUGAUAAUUAUCUACGCCGUGGGCUAUUUGCCGUUUAUAGCACUGCUUAUAAUCGUCUGUUCAUUCAGACAAUAUAUGACAAUUUGACCUCAAAUCAGGUAGGACUACCCGCUGAACUUAAGCAUAUCAAUAAGCGGAGGAAAAGAAACUAACAAGGAUUCCCCUAGUAACUGCGAGUGAAGCGGGAAAAGCUCAAAAUUUAAAUUCUGGCAGUCUUUGGCUGUCCGAGUUGUAAUCUAGAGAA
RNAcentral lists this ribosomal RNA (817 nucleotides) under Hypholoma fasciculare. RNAcentral describes it as "eukaryotic LSU rRNA". The stretch from base 289 to 442 matches the Rfam family "5.8S ribosomal RNA". Lineage: Eukaryota; Fungi; Basidiomycota; Agaricomycetes; Agaricales; Strophariaceae. The record is from RNAcentral.